UCUCAUAAAGAGGCGUUACAGCAUACAACAGUUUUUGACAGAUGUGACGAUCAGUUUUUGACUGAUGUGAUUCAGCCGGAAAACGCGGACUAAAGGCUCUUUUCCACUGUGGAAAAGAGCCUUUACUGCUUUAGUCCGCGUUUUCCGGCUGAUUCCACUUAUCGCAAAACCGACUCACCAGCCCGCUGCGAGUACUUGCAUCUAAUUAAAAUAAACUGUCGAGCAUUGUAAUUGGAUGUAAGUACUGGCAGCGAGCUCGCAAGUUGGUACUUGCGAUGAGUGGAAAAUGUCAACUGGUCAUAACUAUUUUCUCUUCAGAUACAAGCGAAUUAAUGUUACAGUAUUCUGCCGCAUACGACAGCUUUUAGCUGAGCUAGGCGACGUCUGUCUCUUUCUUAAAUUCUGUUGAGCGUAUCAUAAAUACCGGGAUGGUCUGGCCAUAAUUCAGCCAAAUUUUCUUCUGCUAUCAUUUUGUUCAAUACAAUUCUUCUUCCCGCUAUUUCAUGCGCAAGAUGGCGCAUCACGUGGGAAGUAUAUGCGCCACAACAUCCGCACAGGAUGCGAUUCGUGCCUCGCGUGAAUAAAAUAAAACAUGAUAGUCAGAAUUUUCCUUGCGUGUCAGGUUCCACAGCAAAAACCGUGCGCACGCGAGAUCCUUUAGCUAUAAUAGUCUAGGACCUGUAUAGGAGUUUGUAUGCGUUUCAUUUAGCACAGGUAAUCUCAACUGUUUUAGGGUAAAAUGAUCAAGGCGGUCAACAUGGCAUAUGUGCCAAAACCUGAAUCCGGGACGAAAGUCCUGAAAAUGACCCCGCCCUGAAACGGCAGUGCCGACAUUGCUCUAACUUCCGAAAAGCAAAAGCGAUAGCCUUUCUCACGUUCUCAUAGUGUUUAGAAGGGUUGCUUUUAUAGGGGUGGUUAUUGGAAGGAAAAAUUUGUCUAAGUAUAAUAUUUUACAAGAAAAUGACCAUGCA
This is a non-coding RNA of Paramuricea clavata, 971 nucleotides long. The record is from the annotation of a GenBank genome assembly. NCBI's taxonomy places the organism in Eukaryota, Metazoa, Cnidaria, Anthozoa, Malacalcyonacea, Plexauridae.